UACGUAGGGGGCAAGCGUUGUCCGGAAUCAUUGGGCGUAAAGAGCGUGUAGGCGGCCCGGUAAGUCCGCUGUAAAAGUCAAAGGCUUAACCUUUGAAUGUCAGUGGAUACUGCCGGGCUAGAGUCCGGAAGAGGCGAGUGGAACUCCUGGUGUAGCGGUGGAAUGCGCAGAUAUCAGGAAGAACACCAACGGCGAAGGCAGCUCGCUAGGACGGUACUGACGCUGAGGCGCGAAAGCGUGGGGAGCAAACAGG
Molecule: ribosomal RNA, 253 nt
Filed under: uncultured bacterium
Lineage: Bacteria
Description: partial 16S ribosomal RNA
Rfam family: Bacterial small subunit ribosomal RNA
Source: RNAcentral